AUUUCUACAGCUAUUAGAAGAAGGUAUUUCAUACUAUAUUAUAAUGAGAAUACCAUUAUUUUAAUAAAAGCAAAUAUUUUUAUGAAUUAAUAUAUAUACUUAUGUUCGCAGGACAAGUCGGUAUGAUGAAAGUGAAGUUCCUGUAUAUCCUGUCCCGGUACCAGACAUAUUCACACAAGUCGGUCGUCCAAGUGGCAAAAGUAGUGAGUUCUGGUUAACUGAGCAAGAUUAUACAUGCGCACAUGCAUAUGUUUUGCGUAAUUGUGACUAUUUUCGACCGUUUGAAAGUAUGUUGGACGCGCAAAUUCGGGAUGAAUAUCCAGAACUCUCUGAUGAUGAGGUCACCUCUAAAAGAGACGAAGAUUUUCAUUUAUGGAUUCGCCAAUACGUGGAAGCAACGAGAAGUCAUCAAAAUUUUCCUCCAUGGGUUCAUGAACUAGUGGAAGGUCCUGAAAACAAAGUCAAGUCAUGGCCCAUGUAUUUUACUAGAGGAUAUAUGUUUCACACGCGGAAUCAUGGGCGCACAAGAAAGACAAUGAAUUAUGGAGUAUGUGUUCGAGGACAAAAUUAUUCUGAAGCAUCUCACGAAGAAGAUU
Arabidopsis lyrata subsp. lyrata is the source of this 596-nucleotide long non-coding RNA. RefSeq lists it as uncharacterized. The transcript is spliced from 3 exons. The record is from RefSeq and is a predicted model, not a curated record. Lineage: Eukaryota; Viridiplantae; Streptophyta; Magnoliopsida; Brassicales; Brassicaceae.